UUUAUAUAAAAUGAAUUGUUUUCCAUUCUAUGUUUAUUUAUUAUAAACGGAGCUAAAUUGUAGCUCUAGCUUGGCCGGUGAUUUCUAUGGCGGAUAAACGCUAGCCUAGACAAACCCCAACAAAAAUAAAUUUUUUUUUUUUAAACUAAUAAACUUUCUCUGUCUUCCUUCUUCUUCUUCCGUCUUUCUCCCAUGUGUUGGCUUCCUUAGCUCCAUUCUAAGCUGCUUAAGCUCCAUUGACCAAGCUGCUUAGACUGUGAGGACAAGCCGCGCACGAUAGCGCCCGGGCCUAAAUCUNN
This 299-nucleotide long non-coding RNA is filed under the name Linum usitatissimum (flax). RNAcentral's name for it is "long non-coding RNA (LUSI_LNC006946)". The record is from RNAcentral. Lineage: Eukaryota; Viridiplantae; Streptophyta; Magnoliopsida; Malpighiales; Linaceae.